This 511-nucleotide long non-coding RNA is filed under the name Salmo salar (Atlantic salmon). RNAcentral describes it as "lncRNA (ENSSSAG00000098735.1)". Lineage: Eukaryota; Metazoa; Chordata; Actinopteri; Salmoniformes; Salmonidae. The record is from RNAcentral.
GAGGUCUACUACACCUGUUGUAUUCAGCAUUUCACUGUGAGGUCUACUACACCUGUUGUAUUCAGCAUUUCACUGUGAGGUCUACUACACCUGUUGUAUUCAGCAUUUCACUGUGAGGUCUACUACACCUGUUGUAUUCUGCAUUUCACUGUGAGGUCUACUACACCUGUUGUAUUCUGCAUUUCACUGUGAGGUCUACUACACCUGUUGUAUUCAGCAUUUCACUGUAAGGUCUACUACACCUGUUGUAUUCAGCAUUUCACUGUAAGGUCUACUACACCUGUUGUAUUCAGCAUUUCACUGUGAGGUCUACUACACCUGUUGUAUUCAGCAUUUCACUGUGAGGUCUACUACACCUGUUGUAUUCAGCAUUUCACUGUGAGGUCUACUACACCUGUUGUAUUCAGCAUUUCACUGUGAGGUCUACUACACCUGUUGUAUUCAGCAUUUCACUGUGAGGUCUACUACACCUGUUGUAUUCAGCAUUUCACUGUAAGGUCUACUACACCUG